AGCUGAUCACUGGGCAUAAAGCGUGCGCAGGCGGUUUUGUAAGACAGAGGUGAAAUCCCCGGGCUCAACCUGGGAACUGCCUUUGUGACUGCAAGGCUGGAGUGCGGCAGAGGGGGAUGGAAUUCCGCGUGUAGCAGUGAAAUGCGUAGAUAUGCGGAGGAACACCGAUGGCGAAGGCAAUCCCCUGGGCCUGCACUGACGCUCAUGCACGAAAGCGUGGGAGCAAACA
RNAcentral lists this ribosomal RNA (229 nucleotides) under uncultured Alicycliphilus sp. RNAcentral's name for it is "partial 16S ribosomal RNA". It matches the Rfam family "Bacterial small subunit ribosomal RNA", at positions 550 to 774 of the family's 1533-position model. The record is from RNAcentral. Lineage: Bacteria; Pseudomonadati; Pseudomonadota; Betaproteobacteria; Burkholderiales; Comamonadaceae.